AUACGGAGGAUCCGAGCGUUAUCCGGAUUUAUUGGGUUUAAAGGGUGCGCAGGCGGCCAUUUAAGUCCGCGGUUAAAUCGUGGGGCUAAACCCCAUUCGGCCGUUGCUAUUGGUAGGCUUGAUUGGGGUCGAGGUUGCCGAAAUUGGUUGUUUAGCGGGGAAAUGCAUAGAUAUGACGAAGAACACCGAUUGCGUAGGCAGCUGACCAGACCGAAAAUGACACUCAUUCACGAAAGUGCGUGGAUCGAACUGGAUUAGAUUCCCUUGUAGUCCGCACAGUAAACGAUGAAUACUUGUUUUCGGCGAUAUAAUGUCGGAGGCAAAGCGAAAGCGAUAAGUAUUCCACCUGGGGAGUACGCCGGCAACGGUGAAACUUAAAGGAAUUGACGGUG
Molecule: ribosomal RNA, 392 nt
Filed under: uncultured bacterium
Lineage: Bacteria
Description: partial 16S ribosomal RNA
Rfam family: Bacterial small subunit ribosomal RNA
Source: RNAcentral